AGUGAAUAGAUACCCGGGUAGUCCACGCCCUAAACGAUGCUCACUAGGUGUUGGGGAAGCGAUUCCUUGGUACCGUAGCUAAACGCGUGAAGUGAGCCGCCUGGGGAGUACGGCCGCAAGGUUAAAACUCAAAGGAAUUGACGGGGACCCGCACAAGCGGUGGAUGAUGUGGAUUAAUUCGAUGCAACGCGAACAACCUUACCUACCCUUGACAUGUCUGGAAGGCUGCUGAGAGGUGGCUGUGCCCGAAAGGGAACCGGAACACAGGUGCUGCAUGGCUGUCGUCAGCUCGUGUCGUGAGAUGUUGGGUUAAGUCCCGCAACGAGCGCAACCCUUGUCCCUAGUUGCUACGCAAGGGCACUCUAGGGAGACUGCCGGUGACAAACCGGUGGAAGGUGGGGAUGACGUCAAGUCCUCAUGGCCCUUAUGGGUAGGGCUUCACACGUCAUACAAUGGACGGUACAGAGGGUUGCCAACCCGGCGAGGGGGUAGCCAAUCCCAGAAACGCCGUUCGUAGUCCGGAUUGCAGUCUGCAAUUCG
This 540-nucleotide ribosomal RNA is filed under the name uncultured bacterium. RNAcentral's name for it is "bacterial SSU rRNA". It matches the Rfam family "Bacterial small subunit ribosomal RNA", at positions 774 to 1314 of the family's 1533-position model. The record is from RNAcentral.